UACGAAGGGGGCUAGCGUUGCUCGGAAUUACUGGGCGUAAAGGGAGCGUAGGCGGAUAGUUUAGUCAGGGGUGAAAGCCCAGGGCUCAACCUUGGAAUUGCCUUUGAUACUGGCUAUCUUGAGUACGGAAGAGGUAUGUGGAACUCCGAGUGUAGAGGUGAAAUUCGUAGAUAUUCGGAAGAACACCAGUGGCGAAGGCGACAUACUGGUCCGUUACUGACGCUGAGGCUCGAAAGCGUGGGGAGCAAACAGG
RNAcentral lists this ribosomal RNA (253 nucleotides) under uncultured bacterium. Its description in RNAcentral is "partial 16S ribosomal RNA". It matches the Rfam family "Bacterial small subunit ribosomal RNA", at positions 524 to 776 of the family's 1533-position model. The record is from RNAcentral.